This 250-nucleotide ribosomal RNA is filed under the name uncultured bacterium. RNAcentral's name for it is "partial 16S ribosomal RNA". It matches the Rfam family "Bacterial small subunit ribosomal RNA", at positions 524 to 773 of the family's 1533-position model. The record is from RNAcentral.
GACGGAGGUGGCAAACGUUGCUCGGAAUUACUGGGCUUAAAGGGCGUGUAGGCGGUCGGCUAAGUCGGGUGUGAAAUACUCCGGCCCAACCGGGGAAUUGCAUUCGAUACUGGCCGGCUAGAGUGCGAGAGGGGCAAGUGGAACUCCAGGUGUAGCGGUGAAAUGCGUAGAUAUCUGGAGGAACGCCGGUGGCGAAAGCGACUUGCUGGCUCGUAACUGACGCUGAGGCGCGAAAGCUAGGGGAGCAAAC